Molecule: ribosomal RNA, 1234 nt
Filed under: metagenome
Description: bacterial LSU rRNA
Rfam family: Bacterial large subunit ribosomal RNA
Source: RNAcentral
UGAAUACGAGAUGCUACGGCGUCGAAGCAGUCUAUGUCAUACUUCCAAGAAAAGCUUGCACUGUCAUAAACAAAUAAUGCCUGUACCAUAACCGACACAGGUGGGUAGGUAGAGUAUACUAAGGGGCGCGAGAUAACUCUCUCUAAGGAACUCGGCAAAAUGACUCCGUAACUUCGGGAGAAGGAGUGCCUUAUUUAUAAGGUUGCAAUAACAAGAUCCAAGCAACUGUUUACCAAAAACACAGGUCUCCGCUAAGUCGUAAGACGAUGUAUGGGGGCUGACGCCUGCCCAGCGCCAGAAGGUUAAAGAAGUUGGUUAGCAUCCGCGAAGCUGAUAACUGAAGCCCUGGUGAACGGCGGCCGUAACAAUAACGGUCCUAAGGUAGCGAAAUUCCUUGUCGGGUAAGUUCCGACCCGCACGAAAGGCGUAAUGAUUUGGAUACUGUCUCGGAGAGGGGCUCCGUGAAAUAGACUUGUCUGUGAAGAUGCGGACUACCUGCACCAGGACAGAAAGACCCUAUGAAGCUUUACUGUAACCUGAAAUUGAAAUUGGACUUUACUUGCGCAGUAUAGGUGGGAGGCGUUGAGAAUAUUCUUGCGGGAUUAUUGGAGCCAUCAGUGAGAUACCACUCUUGUAAUGUUAGAUUUCUAACUUUGUAUCAUUAUCUGGUCAAAGAACAGUUUCAGGCGGGCAGUUUGACUGGGGCGGUCGCCUCCUAAACGGUAACGGAGGCGCACAAAGGUUUCCUCUGAACGGGUAGAAAUCGUAUCUAGAGUGUAAAGGCAUAAGGAAGCUUGACUGUGAGACCUACAAGUCGAGCAGGGACGAAAGUCGGUCUUAGUGUUCUGACGGUGCUGAGUGGAAAGGCCGUCACUCAACGGAUAAAAGUUACUCUAGGAUAACAGGCUGAUCUCCCCCAAGAGUUCACAUCGACGGGGAGGUUUGGCACCUCGAUGUCGGCUCAUCGCAUCCUGGGGCGGUAGUACGUCCCAAGGGUUGGGCUGUUCGCCCAUGAAAGCGGUACGCGAGCUGGGUUCAGAACGUCGUGAGACAGUUCGGUCCAUAUCCGGUGUAGGCGUUAGAAUAUUGAGAGGAGCCUUCUUUAGUACGAGAGGACCGAGAAGGACAUACCUCUGGUGUACCAGUUAUCGUGCCAACGGUAAACGCUGGGUAGCUAUGUGUGGAGUGGAUAACCGCUGAAAGCAUCUAAGUGGGAAGCCCACCUCAAGAUAAG